GUUGAACGCUGGCGGCAGGCCUAACACAUGCAAGUCGAACGAGUGGCGGACGGGUGAGUAAUGUCUGGGACACUGCCUGAUGGAGGGGGAUAACUACUGGAAACGGUAGCUAAUACCGCAUACCAUCGGAUGUGCCCCGGUGGGCUUAGCUAGUAGGUGGGGUAAUGGCUCACCUAGGCGACGAUCCCUAGCUGGUCUGAGAGGAUGACCAGCCACACGGGAACAGAGACACGGUCCAGCCGCCUAAGGGCGGCAGCAGUGGGGAAUAGUGGACAAUGGGCGCAAGCCUGAUGGAGCCAUGCCGCGUGGAUGAAGCAGGCCUUCGGGUUGUAAAGUACGGUCAGCGAGGAGGCGUUACUCGCAGAAGAAGCACCGGCUAACUCCGUGCCAGCAGCCGCGGUAAUAC
RNAcentral lists this ribosomal RNA (406 nucleotides) under uncultured bacterium. RNAcentral's name for it is "partial 16S ribosomal RNA". It matches the Rfam family "Bacterial small subunit ribosomal RNA", at positions 28 to 526 of the family's 1533-position model. The record is from RNAcentral.